AUGAUGAGCUUCAAGGGCCACGACGGAUUCGGGCAGGCCUCCAAUGGUGGUGGUGGUGGAGCCUCCGUGCCAUGGUGGACGGUGUCCCAGAUGCUGUACGGGGAGCCGGGGGCCGCCUUGUCGUCGUCGCCGGAGGCGGAGCCUCGCCGGGACGCCCAGUUCCAGGUCGUGCCCAGAGCUCAGGGCAUCCUGGAUCCACUGCCGGCGCCCAAGAGCGGGGCUCCUGAGGUCCUCAAGUUCUCGGUGUUCCAAGGGAAUUUGGAGUCGGGAGGCAACAAAGGAGAGAAGCCCAUGGAGCACUCCGCCACCAUCGCACUGCAGUCGCCGCUCCCGGAAUACAACAGUCGCUUCGAAUUUGGCCCGGGUCCUUCCAUGAUGUCUUCUGGUUAUCCUUCAGCCGAGCAGUGCUAUGGCCUGCUUACCACUUACGCGAUGAAAUCUACGCCUGGUGGCCGAUUGCUCUUGCCACUGAAUGCAACAGCUGACGCGCCGAUUUACGUGAAUGCGAAGCAGUAUGAAGGCAUCCUUCGCCGCCGCCGUGCUCGUGCCAAGGUGGAGCGAGAGAAUCAGCUGGUGAAAGGAAGAAAGCCGUAUCUUCACGAAUCACGCCACCGCCACGCGAUGCGCCGGGCGAGGGGCACGGGAGGGCGCUUCCUGAACACCAAGAAGGAGGGGAAUGGCAAGGACGCUGGAGGAGGAGGCAAGAGGGCAGAGUGCGCCCCGCCCACGCGCUUCGCCACGUCUCCGAGCUCCGUCAUCCCGAGCAACCCGCACUCCCGGAGCAGCAUCUCGAGCCUCUCCGGCUCGGAGGUGUCGAGCAUGUACGACCACGACGACGUGGACCACUACAACAGCAUCGAGCACCUCCGGACGCCCUUCUUCACCCCGCUGCCGAUCAUCAUGGACGGCGAGCACGGGGCAUCCGCCCCCUUCAAGUGGGCCACGGCCGCCGACGGCUGCUGUGAGCUCCUCAAGGCGUGA
This 981-nucleotide ribosomal RNA is filed under the name Triticum aestivum (bread wheat). RNAcentral describes it as "partial small subunit ribosomal RNA". Lineage: Eukaryota; Viridiplantae; Streptophyta; Magnoliopsida; Poales; Poaceae. The record is from RNAcentral.